UUGUCUCAAAGAUUAAGCCAUGCAUGUCUAAGUAUAAGCAACUUGUACUGUGAAACUGCGAAUGGCUCAUUAAAUCAGUUAUCGUUUAUUUGAUAGUACCUUACUACAUGGAUACCUGUGGUAAUUCUAGAGCUAAUACAUGCUAAAAACCCCGACUUCAGGAAGGGGUGUAUUUAUUAGAUAAAAAACCAACGCCCUUCGGGGCUCCUUGGUGAAUCAUAAUAACUUAACGAAUCGCAUGGCCUUGCGCCGGCGAUGGUUCAUUCAAAUUUCUGCCCUAUCAACUUUCGAUGGUAGGAUAGUGGCCUACCAUGGUGGCAACGGGUAACGGGGAAUUAGGGUUCGAUUCCGGAGAGGGAGCCUGAGAAACGGCUACCACAUCCAAGGAAGGCAGCAGGCGCGCAAAUUACCCAAUCCCGAUACGGGGAGGUAGUGACAAUAAAUACUGAUACAGGGCUCUUUUGGGUCUUGUAAUCGGAAUGAGUACAAUUUAAAUCCCUUAACGAGGAACAAUUGGAGG
RNAcentral lists this ribosomal RNA (520 nucleotides) under uncultured fungus. RNAcentral's name for it is "SSU rRNA". It matches the Rfam family "Eukaryotic small subunit ribosomal RNA", at positions 32 to 554 of the family's 1831-position model. The record is from RNAcentral. Lineage: Eukaryota; Fungi.